Molecule: transfer-messenger RNA, 354 nt
Filed under: Fulvimonas sp. R45
Lineage: Bacteria; Pseudomonadati; Pseudomonadota; Gammaproteobacteria; Lysobacterales; Rhodanobacteraceae
Rfam family: transfer-messenger RNA
About the family: Bacterial tmRNA, also known as 10Sa RNA or SsrA, is named for its dual tRNA and mRNA-like properties. Its role is to liberate the mRNA from a stalled ribosome. To accomplish this part of the tmRNA is used as a reading frame that ends in a translation stop signal.
Source: RNAcentral
GGGGGUGUUCUGGCUUCGACGGGGGUAGUGAGAUGGCCAGGUGCAUGCCGAGGGGGCAGCUUUCCUCGUUAAUCCAGCCGCAAACUCAUAGUUGCCAACGACGACAACUACGCUCUGGCCGCUUAAGGCCUAGCCCCGAACCCACUUGUGCCCGUGCUCGUGGAUGUAGGGUCAUCAUCACGGGAUCGCCGGGAAUGGCCGUCUGCCAGUUUCCGGCUAACUCCUAGCAGACUGGUCCUUCGAUGCGCUUCGCACGCCGUGCUGUCGCGGGACGAGAUCCAACGGUGAGCUAAGCAUGUAGUACCGGGCGUCAAGCGCCUUCGGACGCGGGUUCGACUCCCGCCACCUCCACCA